UGACAUUAGCUGCAGAAUAAGCACCGGCUAACUCUGGGCCAGCAGCCGCGGUAAUACAGAGGGUGCAAGCGUUAAUCGGAAUUACUGGGCGUAAAGCGAGCGUAGGUGGCUUGAUAAGUCAUAUGUGAAAUCCCCGGGCUUAACCUGGGAACUGCAUCUGAAACUGUUAGGCUAGAGUAGGUGAGAGGGAAGUAAAAUUUCAGGGGUAGAGGUGAAAUGCGUAAAGAUCUGAAGGAAUACCGAUGGCGAAGGCAGCUUCCUGGCAUCAUACUGACACUGAGGCUCGAAAGCGUGGGUAGCAAACAGGAUUAUAUACCCUGGUAGUCCACGCCGUAAACGAUGUCUACUAAUCGUUGGGUCCCUUGAGGACUUAGUGACGCAGCUAACGCAAUAAGUAGACCGCCUGGGGAGUACGGCCGCAAGGUUAAAAUUCAUAUGAAUUGACGG
This 447-nucleotide ribosomal RNA is filed under the name uncultured bacterium. RNAcentral describes it as "bacterial SSU rRNA". It matches the Rfam family "Bacterial small subunit ribosomal RNA", at positions 470 to 916 of the family's 1533-position model. The record is from RNAcentral.